CAGUCGCCGCGGUAAUACAGAGGGUGCAAGCGUUAAUCGGAAUUACUGGGCGUAAAGCGCGCGUAGGUGGUUUGUUAAGUUGGAUGUGAAAUCCCCGGGCUCAACCUGGGAACUGCAUCCAAAACUGGCAAGCUAGAGUAUGGUAGAGGGUGGUGGAAUUUCCUGUGUAGCGGUGAAAUGCGUAGAGAUCUGGAGGAAUACCGGUGGCGAAGGCGGCCCCCUGGACAAAGACUGACGCUCAGGUGCGAAAGCGUGGGGAGCAAACAGGAUUAGAUACCCGGGUAGUCCCUGUCUCUUAUAC
Molecule: ribosomal RNA, 301 nt
Filed under: uncultured bacterium
Lineage: Bacteria
Description: partial 16S ribosomal RNA
Rfam family: Bacterial small subunit ribosomal RNA
Source: RNAcentral